GAGCGGUCAGGGCUGAUGUAACCGGAACCUGCAGGACUUGGAGUGCAACGUGGAGAGAGGCCUUGAAAGCCCUCCUGGAGCGUUUAAACAUGCUUCCAAAAAGCUAUUGAUGCAGUGAUUUAGCUGCCACAAAAAUCAGGAGGAAACACACAGGAAUUCAUUCAUCUCACUCUGGUGAUGGAAGACCAGCACACAAGACCUACAGUAAUGUUUCCAAACUUGAAGCCUCAUCAAUAAUAAGCAUGGUGCAACUUCAGAGGACUGAGAAGAAAAGAACCAUUGUCAAUGUUCAAAGCAGAGAACACAUCUCCAUCGAGACCAUUCCAUAACAGCAUAUGACCCUGAUUUCACUAGUGCUCUUGUUUCAAAGAAUGCCUUUCCC
Molecule: long non-coding RNA, 382 nt
Organism: Dama dama (fallow deer)
Lineage: Eukaryota; Metazoa; Chordata; Mammalia; Artiodactyla; Cervidae
Exons: 3
Source: RefSeq, a predicted model, not a curated record